GGCGCUAUGGUGUAGUGGCAGCACAUGGGAUUUUGAUUAUGUAAUCUUGUUCCCAUAACCCAGGUUCGAACCCUGGUAGUGCCU
Non-coding RNA from Desarmillaria tabescens, 84 nucleotides. Lineage: Eukaryota; Fungi; Basidiomycota; Agaricomycetes; Agaricales; Physalacriaceae. The record is from the annotation of a RefSeq genome assembly.